This 253-nucleotide ribosomal RNA is filed under the name uncultured bacterium. RNAcentral's name for it is "partial 16S ribosomal RNA". It matches the Rfam family "Bacterial small subunit ribosomal RNA", at positions 524 to 776 of the family's 1533-position model. The record is from RNAcentral.
UACGUAGGGCGCAAGUGUUAUCCGGAAUUAUUGGGCGUAAAGAGCUCGUAGGCGGUUUGUCGCGUCUGCCGUGAAAGUCCGGGGCUCAACUCCGGAUCUGCGGUGGGUACGGGCAGACUAGAGUGAUGUAGGGGAGACUGGAAUUCCUGGUGUAGCGGUGAAAUGCGCAGAUAUCAGGAGGAACACCGAUGGCGAAGGCAGGUCUCUGGGCCGAUAUUGACGCUGAGGAGCGAAAGCGUGGGGAGCGAACAGG